This 374-nucleotide ribosomal RNA is filed under the name uncultured bacterium. Its description in RNAcentral is "bacterial SSU rRNA". It matches the Rfam family "Bacterial small subunit ribosomal RNA", at positions 28 to 402 of the family's 1533-position model. The record is from RNAcentral.
GACGAACGCUGGCGGCGUGCUUAAUACAUGCAAGUCGAACGGGAUCACUGCUUUCGGGUGGUGGUUUAGUGGCGAACGGGUGAGUAACACGUGAGUAACCUGCCCUCAGCUUUGGGAUAAGCCUGGGAAACUGGGUCUAAUACCGGAUAUUCACGCCUUGUCGCAUGGUGGGGUGUGGAAAGGGUUUCUGGCUGGGGAUGGGCUCGCGGCCUAUCAGCUUGUUGGUGGGGUGAUGGCCACCAAGGCGGUGACGGGUAGCCGGCCUGAGAGGGCGACCGGCCACACUGGGACUGAGACACGGCCCAGACUCCUACGGGAGGCAGCAGUAGGGAAUAUUGCGCAAUGGGCGAAAGCCUGACGCAGCGACGCCGCGU